AUACGUAGGGGGCGAGCGUUGUCCGGAAUGAUUGGGCGUAAAGGGCGCGUAGGCGGCGCGGUAAGUCUGGAGUGAAAGUCCUGCUUUCAAGGUGGGAAUUGCUUUGGAUACUGCCGCGCUUGAGUGCAGGAGAGGUUAUCGGAAUUCCCGGUGUAGCGGUGAAAUGCGUAGAGAUCGGGAGGAACACCAGUGGCGAAGGCGGGUAACUGGACUGGAACUGACGCUGAGGCGCGAAAGUGUGGGGAGCAAACAGGAUUAGAUACCCUGGUAGUCCACACUGUAAACGAUGAAUGCUAGGUGUAAGAGGUAUCGACCCCUUCUGUGCCGGAGUCAACACAAUAAGCAUUCCGCCUGGGGAGUACGGCCGCAAGGUUGAAACUCAAAGGAAUUGGCGGGG
This 397-nucleotide ribosomal RNA is filed under the name uncultured bacterium. RNAcentral's name for it is "partial 16S ribosomal RNA". It matches the Rfam family "Bacterial small subunit ribosomal RNA", at positions 523 to 918 of the family's 1533-position model. The record is from RNAcentral.